AGCUCCAAUAGCGUAUAUUAAAGUUGUUGCGGUUAAAAAGCUCGUAGUUGGAUUUCUGUUGAAGACGGUCGGUCCGCUCUAUGAGCGUGCAUCUGAUUCGGCUUUGGCAUCCUCGUGGGGAACGUGUCUGUGCUUGAUUGCAUGGCGCGGUAUUCACGACUUUUACUUUGAGGAAAUUAGAGUGUUCACGGCAGGCAAGCGUCUUGAAUAUAUUAGCAUGGAAUAAUAAUAUAGGGCUUUGGUUCUAUUUUGUUGGUUUCUAGAACUAAAGUAAUGAUUAAUAGGGAUAAUUGGGGGCAUUUGUACUAACGCGUCAGAGGUGGAAUUCUUGGAUUGCGUUAUGACAAACUACUGCGAAAGCAUUUGCCAAGGAUGUUUUCA
Molecule: ribosomal RNA, 381 nt
Filed under: uncultured eukaryote
Lineage: Eukaryota
Description: SSU rRNA
Rfam family: Eukaryotic small subunit ribosomal RNA
Source: RNAcentral